Long non-coding RNA from Acipenser ruthenus (sterlet), 595 nucleotides. RefSeq lists it as uncharacterized. The transcript has 3 exons. The record is from RefSeq and is a predicted model, not a curated record. Lineage: Eukaryota; Metazoa; Chordata; Actinopteri; Acipenseriformes; Acipenseridae.
UGCAGAGGGAGGAAGUGGUUGGAGUUAGUGAAGAGUGAGAGGGGGUUUGCAGACAAGAGUUAAACAAAAGGAAAUUUGUUUGGUCAAAAAGUGUCUUUUUGGACAUAAAACAAAGCCUGGACCUUUGAGUGUGGAGUCUAGCCUCUAAGUCCAGUUAAACCAAAGUCUGUUGGAAAAGCUGACUGGCCAUGUGCUCAGCGCAGGAGUAACCGGAACAAGGGAACCAGAAUGGAAUAAAGGUUUCCUUGGAAGACAAAGUUCCAAUUAUCAAGACAAAUAAUAACCAAACUCAAAUAAACACAGUCCAGGACUUUCUUUGUGGAGCGAGACCCUCAGGUAAGUAAUGGCUUGUUGUAUCCAAGUUUCUUUGGUGUUGGCUUGGUAUUGUGGCUUCUUUCUCUUUUCCAGGUUGUCGCGGACAUCCACCAGGUGGCGCUGUGGGGUUGUGAUAGUCCCCGUCCUACUCACAGGUUUGUACUCCCGACGGCCCCAAAAGCCUGUUUGCGGUAGAGUGCAGCCCCAACACCCGGCCAACCUUUCGUAAAGGUUCCACUGUUCCCCGGACAUACAAUAAAGUUGUUUUUCGUUUAAAUCA